UCGCCCCUACGGCAGGCAGCAGUGGGGAAUAUUGCACAAUGGGGGAAACCCUGAUGCAGCGACGCCGCGUGAAGGAAGAAGUAUUUCGGUAUGUAAACUUCUAUCAGCAGGGAAGAAAAUGACGGUACCUGACUAAGAAGCCCCGGCUAACUACGUGCCAGCAGCCGCGGUAAUACGUAGAGGGCAAGCGUUAUCCGGAUUUACUGGGUGUAAAGGGAGCGUAGGCGGUGCAGCAAGUCAGAAGUGAAAGCCCGGGGCUCAACUCCGGGACUGCUUUUGAAACUGUUGAACUAGAUUGCAGGAAA
RNAcentral lists this ribosomal RNA (305 nucleotides) under uncultured bacterium. Its description in RNAcentral is "bacterial SSU rRNA". It matches the Rfam family "Bacterial small subunit ribosomal RNA", at positions 333 to 655 of the family's 1533-position model. The record is from RNAcentral.